Molecule: non-coding RNA, 75 nt
Organism: Caerostris darwini
Lineage: Eukaryota; Metazoa; Arthropoda; Arachnida; Araneae; Araneidae
Source: the annotation of a GenBank genome assembly
CACCGAAGUUAAGCAUCAUUGGGCGCGGUCAGUACUUGGGUGGGUGACCACCACCUGGGAACACUGCGUGCCGUU